Molecule: ribosomal RNA, 513 nt
Filed under: uncultured bacterium
Lineage: Bacteria
Description: partial 16S ribosomal RNA
Rfam family: Bacterial small subunit ribosomal RNA
Source: RNAcentral
GACGAACGCUGGCGGCGUGCCUAAUACAUGCAAGUUGAGCGCUGAAGGUUGGUACUUGUACCGACUGGAUGAGCAGCGAACGGGUGAGUAACGCGUGGGGAAUCUGCCUUUGAGCGGGGGACAACUUUUGGAAACGAGUGCUAAUACCGCAUAAAAACUUUAAACACAAGUUUUAAGUUUGAAAGAUGCAAUUGCAUCACUCAAAGAUGAUCCCGCGUUGUAUUAGCUAGUUGGUGAGGUAAAGGCUCACCAAGGCGAUGAUACAUAGCCGACCUGGGAGGGUGAUCGGCCACAUUGGGACUGAGACACGGCCCAAACUCCUACGGGAGGCAGCAGUAGGGAAUCUUCGGCAAUGGACGAAAGUCUGACCGAGCAACGCCGCGUGAGUGAAGAAGGUUUUCGGAUCGUAAAACUCUGUUGGUGGAGAAGAACGUUGGUGAGAGUGGAAAGCUCAUCAAGUGACGGUAACUACCCAGAAAGGGACGGCUAACUACGUGCCAGUAGCCGCCGUAA